GACGAACGCUGGCGGCGUGCUUAACACAUGCAAGUCGAACGAUGAAGCCGGAGCUUGCUCUGGCGAAUUAGUGGCGAACGGGUGAGUAACACGUGAGUAACCUGCCCCGAACUCUGGGAUAACUGCUGGAAACGGUAGCUAAUACUGGAUACGACCUACGAAGGCAUCUUCUGUAGGUGGAAAGAAUUUCGGUUCGGGAUGGACUCGCGGCCUAUCAGCUUGUUGGUGAGGUAAUGGCUCACCAAGGCGACGACGGGUAGCCGGCCUGGGAGGGUGACCGGCCACACUGGGACUGAGACACGGCCCAGACUCCUACGGGAGGCAGCAGUGGGGAAUAUUGCACAAUGGGCGCAAGCCUGAUGCAGCAACGCCGCGUGAGGGAUGACGGCCUUCGGGUUGUAAACCUCUUUUAGUAGGGAAGAAGCGAAAGUGACGGUACCUGCAGAAAAAGCACCGGCUAACUACGUGCCAGCAGCCGCCGUAA
Molecule: ribosomal RNA, 484 nt
Filed under: uncultured bacterium
Lineage: Bacteria
Description: partial 16S ribosomal RNA
Rfam family: Bacterial small subunit ribosomal RNA
Source: RNAcentral